UGCUUCAACUGCACCCAAUAGCUGGAAGUGAUUGACCACAUCAUUUGACAUACAUGACAUAACUUCAUGCGUCCAGUCCACAAAGCUGGUAAAAGCCUUUGUCAUAUCUGGGCGCGUAAGAAGCCUUGAGAGCAGCAAACCCGAUAUGGUUCGCAUAGGACCCGCAUUUGAAAGGUAGUCUUUAGAGAUUUCCAGAAUUUUUAGAACAAGUGGAGGUGGCUCAUCACCUCCAGCAUAGUUAUUAUUCCCAGCACUAGUAUCCAUAGAAGCUAUAUCAAAAGGGAUCAAUACAAGAAUGUAUAGCCACAAUAGUAUCACACACUUUGCCUCCAUCUCUCCAGUACUUUCUUGUCGUAAUGAUGUUCCAGCUUGUGUAUUAUGGCAUUUCUCCAGGAGAGAUACUGCAAGCUCCAGGUCAGAAACCUGAUGAGGGAAG
This 436-nucleotide unclassified non-coding RNA is filed under the name Hevea brasiliensis (rubber tree). The record is from RNAcentral. Lineage: Eukaryota; Viridiplantae; Streptophyta; Magnoliopsida; Malpighiales; Euphorbiaceae.